AAUCGAACCCGGAGAUAGCUGGUUCUCCUCGAAAUAGCUUUAGGGCUAGCCUUGAGGGUCAUUAACGCAGGUAGAGCACUGAAUGGGCGCGGGGGCCACAAAGCCUACCAAACGCUAUCAAACUUCGAAUACCAUACAAUGCAGACCAUGGGAGUCAGUCCGCGAGAGAUAAGUUCCGCGGGCAAAAGGGGAACACCCCAGAUCAACCGCUAAGGUCCCCAAGUUCACGUUAAGUGGAGAAGGAUGUGGAAUUGCACAGACAACCAGGAUGUUGGCUCAGAAGCAGCCAUUCAUUUAAAGAGUGCGUAAUAGCUCACUGGUCGAGUGGUUGUGCGCCGAAGAUGUCCGGGGCUCAAACGUGACACCGAAGCGAUGGAUGCGCGCAAGCGCGUGGUAGAGGAGCAUUCUGUAUUGGGAGAAGCCAGAUCGAGAGGACUGGUGGACGGUACAGAAGAGAGAAUGCCGGUAUGAGUAGCGAGAGGCAUGCGAGAAACAUGCCCGUCGAAAGCCCAAGGUUUCCUGGGGAAGGUUCAUCCACCCAGGGUAAGUCGGGGCCUAAGCCGAGGACGGAAGUCGUAGGCGAUGGACAGCAGGUGUAGAUUCCUGCACUACCGAUGGAAUGAAGCAGUGACACAGAAGGAUAACUCGAGCAGGGUGAUGGUCAACCCUGUGCAAGCAUCAAGGUUGGGUUGUAGUGAAGUACGCAAUCCUAUAAGCUGAGGUGUGAUGCGGACCGAAAUUUCAGUAGGGAAGCGAGUGAGUUCACGCUGGCGAGAAAAGCUGCUGGUAUAUCCAAAGGUACCCGUACCGGAAACCGACGCAGGUGGGCGAGGAGAGAAUCCUGAGACGAACGGGAGAACCCUUGUUAAGGAACUCGGCAAAAUGACCCCGUAACUUCGGGAUAAGGGGUGCCUGCGAGAGCAGGCCGCAGAGAAUAGUCACAAGCGACUGUUUAGCAAAAACACAGGUAUCUGCGAAAGCGAGAGCUGACGUAUAGGUGCUGACGCCUGCCCGGUGCUGGAAGGUUAAGGGGAAGUGUUAGGGGGAACCCGAAGCAGAGAACCGAAGCCCCAGUAAACGGCGGCCGUAACUAUAACGGUCCUAAGGUAGCGAAAUUCCUUGUCGGGUAAGUUCCGACCCGCACGAAUGGUGUAACGACUUGUGAGCUGUCUCAACAGGGGGCCCGGUGAAAUUGAAGUAUGGGUGAAGAUGCCCAUUACCCGCGACUGGACGGAAAGACCCCGUAGAGCUUUACUGCAGCCUGAUAUUGAGUUUCGGUAACUGAUGCACAGGAUAGGUGGGAGUCUGAGAGACAUGGGUUUCGGCUCAUGUGGAGACGCUGUUGGGAUACCACUCUUCGGUUACUGAAAUUCUAACAUAGCUCUGUGAAACCAGAGGAUGGACAGUGUCAGGUGGACAGUUUGACUGGGGCGGUCGCCUCCGAAAGAGUAACGGAGGCGCCCAAAGGUACCCUCAGAAUGGAUGGAAACCAUUCGAAGAGCGCAAAGGCAGAAGGGUGCCUGACUGCGAGAGUGACAACUCGAGCAGAGACGAAAGUCGGGCUUAGUGAUCCGGCGGUAUUGAGUGGAAAAGCCGUCGCUUAACGGAUAAAAGCUACCUCGGGGAUAACAGGCUGAUCUCCCCCAAGAGUCCACAUCGACGGGGAGGUUUGGCACCUCGAUGUCGGCUCGUCGCAUCCUGGGGCUGAAGCAGGUCCCAAGGGUUUGGCUGUUCGCCAAUUAAAGCGGCACGCGAGCUGGGUUCAGAACGUCGUGAGACAGUUCGGUCCCUAUCCAUCGUGGGCGAAGGACACAUGAGAGGAGCUGCUCCUAGUACGAGAGGACCGGAGUGGACGCAUCACUGGUGCAACUGUUGUCGUGCCAACGGCACAGCAGGGAAGCGAAAUGCGGAUGGGAUAAACGCUGAAGGCAUCUAAGCGUGAAGCCCACCUCAAGAAUAAGUGU
RNAcentral lists this ribosomal RNA (1964 nucleotides) under human gut metagenome. RNAcentral's name for it is "bacterial LSU rRNA". It matches the Rfam family "Bacterial large subunit ribosomal RNA", at positions 831 to 2812 of the family's 2925-position model. The record is from RNAcentral.